RNAcentral lists this long non-coding RNA (330 nucleotides) under Linum usitatissimum (flax). RNAcentral's name for it is "long non-coding RNA (LUSI_LNC001106)". The record is from RNAcentral. Lineage: Eukaryota; Viridiplantae; Streptophyta; Magnoliopsida; Malpighiales; Linaceae.
CUUCAUCUCUCUAAUCUCUUCACACACACAAACCCAAACAGAAAGAACACUCCUUUCCCCAUUCUUCUCUCUCUCCCUGUUUGUUUUUUGUUUCUAUUUCUCCGAUCUUUGAUCUUUCUUUUGCUUUUUCCCUUCUUCAGCUUUCAAUUCCGUUCGAUUUGGGGUCUUUUUCAGUAACAGCCGCAUUAAAUUUUUGAUAAAAGGGUUACAGUAUUCCACGAUGGAGAAUGAAUGAGCUGAAGCGAUGCUAAGGAAGAAGAGUGAGUAUUGUAGUUCUUUUGUGUUUUUCCUUGGUCAGUUUGGUGGGUUCUUCUCUCUGAUCUUUUUUGU